GGUGAACGCUGGCGGCGUGCCUAAUACAUGCAAGUCGAGCGAACAGACGAGGAGCUUGCUCCUCUGACGUUAGCGGCGGACGGGUGAGUAACACGUGGAUAACCUACCUAUAAGACUGGUAUAACUUCGGGAAACCGGAGCUAAUACCGGAUAACAUAUUGAACCGUAUGGUUCAAUGGUGAAAGACGGUUUUGCUGUCACUUAUCGACCGAUCCGCGCCGCAUUAGCUAGUUGGUAAGGUAACGGCUUACCAAGGCAACGACGCGUAGCCGACCUGAGAGGGGGAUCGGCCACACUGGAACUGAGACACGGACCAGACUCCUACGGGAGGCAGCAGUAGGGAAUGUUCCGCAAUGGGCGAGAGCCUGACGGAGCGACGCCGCGUGAGUGAUGAAGGUCUUCGGAUCGUAAAACUCUGUUAUUAGGGAAGAACAAAUGUGUAAGUAACUAUGCACGUCUUGACGGUACCUAAUCAGAAAGCCACGGCUAACUACGUG
This 497-nucleotide ribosomal RNA is filed under the name uncultured bacterium. RNAcentral's name for it is "partial 16S ribosomal RNA". It matches the Rfam family "Bacterial small subunit ribosomal RNA", at positions 28 to 507 of the family's 1533-position model. The record is from RNAcentral.